GUGGGGAAUCUUGGACAAUGGGCGCAAGCCUGAUCCAGCCAUGCCGCGUGAGUGAAGAAGGCCUUAGGGUUGUAAAACUCUUUCGCCGGAGAAGAUAAUGACGGUAUCCGGAGAAGAAGCCCCGGCUAACUUCGUGCCAGCAGCCGCGGUAAUCCGAAGGGGGCUAGCGUUGUUCGGAAUUACUGGGCGUAAAGCGCACGUAGGCGGAUUUGUAAGUAGGGGGUGAAAUCCCCAGGCCCAACCUGGGAACUGCCUUCUAGACUGCAAGUCUGGAGAUCAGGAGAGGCGAGUGGAAUACCGAGUGUAGAGGUGAAAUUCGUAGAUAUUCGGUGGAACACCAGUGGCGAAGGCGACUCGCUGGACUGAUACUGACGCUGAGGUGCGAAAGCGUGGGGAGCAA
This 400-nucleotide ribosomal RNA is filed under the name uncultured bacterium. RNAcentral's name for it is "bacterial SSU rRNA". It matches the Rfam family "Bacterial small subunit ribosomal RNA", at positions 354 to 771 of the family's 1533-position model. The record is from RNAcentral.